RNAcentral lists this long non-coding RNA (12664 nucleotides) under Medicago truncatula (barrel medic). RNAcentral describes it as "long non-coding RNA (MTRU_LNC008864)". The record is from RNAcentral. Lineage: Eukaryota; Viridiplantae; Streptophyta; Magnoliopsida; Fabales; Fabaceae.
AAUACUCCCCUGAGCAACCCAUUAUAUUUGAUUUGGGACUUAGGCACACCAUAAUACCCAAGUUUAUCAUAGCACCGCCCCUACGAGAUGACGUCCUACCUAUUAAACUCUACAAUGCUUUAUUCGACCUUUCCAGUGAUCCCUUCCGCACCCUUUUCUGAGAUACCAGCAACCUUGAUACCAAUUGAUAAAUAUCAAAGCACUUUGAAAACCCUCCCUUAAAAGUUAGCUAUCAAGGGUAGAACCAACCCACUUAAAUACGCUAUGGAGCAUCCCAAUCACAUACCUCAUAAUUCUCUGUUAAGUUUGGCUGCUGGAAGUGAAACUAACUGUUUGCGCAGGGUUUGUUAGGCAUGCAUAAUUUAAGGUUACAUCGGCUGUAGUACUACUUUUUUUUUCCUUGUUCAUUUAGUUUGGUAUUUCCACUACCCUUAUUAGCUGUUCUGUUACCUGCUGUCAUAAUUAGAGUUUGUCAUUGAUUUUGAAAUGCCGGUUUCUUUUAUUUGUUACCAACUUAUUAUACAUUCUUAAUGGUAUGUUGUUUGCUUUGCUUAUUAAAUUGUGUCUAGCACUUCUGUGUUCCAAUUUUAACUAGAUGAACAGAAGUGCAAAUUGAACAAAUCAAUAGAUCAUGUUGCUACUCCUAAAAAUUGGCAACUAACUACUCCUAACUUUUCUUUUUCUUUUGAUUUCAAAUGGCAGAUGUCAGAUAUUUAGAUUAGAUAGUGUUGCAAUGCUUGUCAAGUUGAUUCUUUUGAAGCUUCCAGAUUAUGGAUCUGAAUUUGGCAUUUGGUUUGCAGAGAAAGCUUCUGAAGGCGACUAUGAUCUCCUAAUGUGCAGAGAAUCUUUUUCUCUCAUUUCAUAAAACUGUUGAUCCGUUGCAAUUUAUGUGGCCUUAUUUGCGAAAGCACGCACUUGUAUAAUAUUUUGUAGAAUGUGAAGAUAACUAGAUAGUUUUUUGUAGGAGUGUACAUCGCUAACUACUGUUAACUACUUACUACUCGUGAAGUUCCAUUGAUGAAUUGUUAUUUUGUGCUAGCAGAUUCAGGAUUCUAGGUGUUAUAUCAAAGUAAAAUUGUAAUUCCAAGUUCUUCAAGUCAUUAUUGGUUUACAUGAAAUCUUAUUCUGUACAGUAGCAUGAAUGUUGCAUCAAUUUUGUUGGUAAUGAGUAGUGACCUGGGGAGGGACGUUGCGGGUAGGAGUAUUAGACCAUCCCCGAUGGAAAGUCUCAAUUGUUACUUGUCCAGUUUCCCAAUUGGUUUCGUCGAUAUGUGACACGUGGUAAAUUUGUUUUCAACGGAUCAGAUUACAAAAUAAUAUCAGUGCUCUAUGAUGCUCCAUAGUGCUCUUCCAUCCCCCUCUCUCAGUUUCGACGUUGCUCUCCCUCUUCUCUCUUCUUCUCCGACACACUGUUGUUAGCUGUAUCAACCAUGCUCAACCACACUUCUCUAUUUCAACAAUGCCUCGUUUCACUGUUUUGAUCAUAAGAUUUUUUUUUUUAAAUCAUUUCUACAAAAUCUAUUCACAAAUCUUUGAAAAGGGUAAAUGGCAAAAACGACGGCGAUUUGUAGAAGCGAUUGUGUCGAUCGGAAAUCGGAGCAGAUCCGGAUUUCAAACACCAAAUGAUCACUCUUUCUCUCGUCAGAAAAGCAACAAUACAUUUCGGAGUCCGUAUUGGAGGUGGAGCGGCGGAGCGCCAUUGAAACGGGUAAAAGGGAGAAGAACGAUGCAACACUAUUGAAAUAGAAACGAGGAAGAAUAGCGGAGAAGGUGGUGGCGUAGUGGAGGAGCGGUGGAGGAUUGAACAGAGAAGAGGGUAAAGAAGAAGAUUGGGUAACGAAAAGAGGAAAGCUAAUUGUUGUUUCUUUUCAUUUUUUAAGGAACACUGAUUUUGUUUUUAAAUCUGAACCUUUAAAAUCAUUUUUGCCACGUGUCAUACAUCGGUGAAGUAAACAGGAAAACUGGAGCAGAUCCGCACUCCCAUUGGGGAGGAAAUUUUUUGGGAACUUAAAAUCUAAGAUCUCACUUAAAACUCAAUGUUAAGUGGACCUUAUAUUUUUAAAUAUUAAAAAAAUUGAAAUGUAAUGACUUUUUUUUUUUUGUGAUGUUCGAAAUUCGAUCCCAAACCUUGCAUAUAUUAUAUUAUGCAUUGUAAUGAUAUCUUUAUAUAUAUAAAGAGGCUUUAGUCUGCGUCUCCAAUUUGCCUCCAAAAUCAAUUUAUUAAGUAAGGACGUUUUUGUAAUUCACAUUCUACAACUCUAACUUUCCUCCCAAAUCCAAUCAAUUAAAUAAUGGUAUUAUUGAAAUUUUGUAUGUCAUGUCCGGUCUUUUUAACAUGGUGGUAUUUUGAUAAAUAGAUACAAAUAUCAAUCUUAUUAUUUGUGACAAACAUGCAUUUUGGUAAAUAGAUACUCUUAAAUUGAGGUUGUGUGUUGUGUCUUAUUAUAGAUCGUUUUUACAUUUUACUUAUUGAUUUUUUUAUAUAUUUUUCUAGCAUUGAUUUAAAUAAAUAAUAAUUGAGAUAGUAUGUGUUGUGUUUUAAGAUGAACUUUUGAUUAAUAUUUUUGUGAUCUAUAUAAUUGAGGUGGUAUGCUGUAUGCGUUGUGUUACUAGCAUUUUUCAGACCAGUAAUAAAAAUAGAAAGAAAGAAAAAAGUAAAAUAAUGUACAACAUAUUUUUUUAUCAGAGAUAUUUUACAGUGAUAUUAAGUAAAAAUUCAUAACUUAACAUUCUAACUAUAGAUGUAACUAUUAAGAAUCCAAGUUACUCCAUAAAUGUUGAUUUUUUUUUUUUAUACACAACAAAAAGCUAUUUGUAUAAAAUUUGAUGUUGAAUCAUACAUAACAAAACUUCAGUUUUAAAGAACCAAAUUUUACAAUACCUUAAAAUUUGAGAUUAAAUUUGAGAUAUGUUUUGUCCCCCUCCAAAAAAAAACCAAAAUCAAAAUAUAAUAUUUUUCUAUAAAAAUUUGAAUUUAAAUUGUAUGAUUUUUUUUGGUUUCAUAUCUAAAUGAAAAAAAAAAAAAAGGUAAGUUGUUAAAAGUAAAAAAAAAAAACUUUUAUAAAAUCUUUUAAAUAUGUGGAGAGAGAGCUAGAUCAGCUACUAUAAUUGGUCCAAAGUGUUUUAACAAUAAAUGUAACAUUAUUUUUUUUUAAAAAAACUAUUUCUUUAAAUGAUAUUAUGGAUUUAAAAUAUCCAAAGGUUUGUUGAAACUAUUAUUUUAGUCAUCUGUUUAUAUUGCACAUGUGCAUAUCAUAAUUAACUAUAUAUAUGCUACUUUAUAAUUAAUUACGAAAAUAAUUGAAACUUAAUCUAACAGGUUUGAUUAACUUAAAAUAUAAAAAGAGUGAUAAUAUAUAUAUAUAAUUAUUUUUAGAACAUACAUAUAUAAAUCAAAAAUCUUAAAACAUCUUUCAAGUUGAGACUUUCACUUUGUAGCGGUGCUUUGCUCUAGAUUUGAUGUUCCUCGGACAAAUAUUCCAUUGCACUGCCAUGAUUGACAUAUUACAUGUUAUGAAGUAUUCGAUUAUGGCCGGCAGUGAGUUCUUUGAACCACGUACAACAACGUAUUGUUUAUAUCAACUAAAUUAUGUUCAUGGAGACAAGUUGUUUGAGUUAUGUGCAACAUUAUUUAACCACUUGGUAAUUAUAUCAUAUACUGCCCCUAAAAAUUUUCAUAUCAUGUUCCAGAAAGUUUCAAUAAUUAUGAAAAAAUAAAAUAGCUAUUAUAAUUUUUUUUUUAUCAUGUAUUAACAAGAAAAUAUUAUAACAUUUUAUAAGUAUGAAAAAAUGAAAUAAAUAUUAUAAUUUAGAUUAUGUACAAUAUUACAUAUUUACUCUAAAAAAAUAUUAUAUAUCUACUUUUUCUCUGUUGAAUAUAUUUUUACUAUGUACUUAGAAAUAACUGUAUAGUAGUCACACGUACGUAGCACGGGAUUGAGUAUCUAGUAAUUAUUGAUAGUUGAUUAGUGCUAUUCUCACAACAAACAUUGCUCUGUUUCAACUGAUAUGAUAAAAGUACCUCCAUACGACUUAAGUUACGUGGAAGCAUUUUCGUCAGAUUGGAUAUGAAUGGGUGAUUUUGGAUGUGAGAAGAGCAAUUUUCUCAACCUAAUGUUACAUAACUUUUUUGAUAACAAACUAUCUUUUAGAUGAACUCUUUUCUCCAAAUUUUCUCAUAACAAUUUAAUAUUUUUUCAAUUUUUUUUUUUUUUAUUAUGAUUUGAACUCCGGACCUUGCUUAUAUUAUGCAUUGUCUCUACCAACUGAGUUAAGUUUACAAAGAAAACAAAAGGAACAAACAAGAAAGAAAAAAACAAGCUAACUAUUUUCUAAGGAAGAAAGUGUCAGCGAUAGGCAUGGCAACAAAACCCGUGCCCAUGGGUACCCGCCCAAACCAACCCCAAUUUGACGGGCAAACAAGAGAGUUAGAAUAACAAACUAGCUCCGCAUAACGCAAAUCUAUGGCCAUGAUCAGACCAUGAUAGAUAGUUAAAAGCUCAACAAACAUGAUACCAUAUGGAGUUUGGAAUUAAUAAGCUUUAUAAUAGUUUACUAGCAAGAAGGAGACAUCACAUUUUGGCAAGUGUUAUAAUAUUUUACAAGCUUUUAACACAGAUACCCAAAAAAUCAAAUGUUGUAAUGCGUCAUUCCUGCUUCAUGCACUAAUCUCUUAUUGAUGUUAGUAGGUAGCAUUAUGUAAAACUAACAACUUUCCAAAGACCUUAGUGAGAGUGCGUAUUUACUGUCAGGGACCUAACUAAUAGUAAGUAUGCACAAUCAGCGACCUAACAGUAAGUUGGUUUUUAAUGGAAGAUUGACUUUGAACAAAAGAGAGAAUUAGAUGUCAUAUAAGGAUUUAGGGAUUUGAGAUUCAAUUGGGGAAUAUUAAUUUUUGGUUCAGGAGAACCAAAGUGACCAUUUUCUAAUUUCACAUUAGUUCAUAUGACACAUCAUAUGUCAUGUCAUCAUAAAACAUCUGUCACGCCAUCACUUAACAUAAUUAUUUAACGUUAAAGACUAAAGUGAACGGAAGUGCACAAAGACUUCUUUGUAUCAAAUACUGAGUCAGAGACCUAUGUGACAACGAGCUGCAAAGUCAGAGUUUAAAGUUACCAUUUGUUCGUUAAACAAUAUAGGGUUAAUAGUGUUUUUCACCCUUGUAAUAUAUGUCAUUUUCGAUUUGAUUUUCACCCUCGUAAAAUUUUUAUUUUCCGGAAAACACCCUUAAUAGGCCAUUCGAAAACCAAAAUUUUUUGAAAAAAAAUUCUGAAAAAUGGCCUAUUAGGGGUGUUUUCCGGAAAAUAAAAAUUUUACGAGGGUGCAAGUCAAACUGAAAAUUUUAUAGGGGCGAAAACUGGAAAUGACAUAUAUUACAGGGGUGAAAAACACUCUUAACCCAACAUAUACACUCGAGUAAAUAGUCAAUUACCCCCCCUGAAAUUGUAGCUUUCAUCAAAAGCCCCCCUGAAUUUUGCAAAACCCCAUGAAAUUGUCAAACUUUAGUCAAAUAUCCCAUCCGUUAAUUUCCUCCAUCCAACAUGCUGACAUGACUGUUAACUGCCACAUGAUCAAAAAAGUCAUGCCACAUCACGGGGGGGGGGGGGUAAUUGACUAUAUUUUUAUUUUAUUUCUUUUAAAAAUCAGGUUUUUUUUUAAAAAAAUGACUUUUUUUUUUCUUUUCAAAAUUAACAUUUGUGCCACCCACUCACUUUGUAAAUACCCCCUGAAAUUUAACAUUUACGUGCAUAUACCCUCCUCAAAUUUAAAAUUUAUAUAUCAAAUGCAUCCUCAAAUUUACUCCAUCUGUUUUUAAAUGUAACUGUAUUGAUGUUUCAUAUUGAGGAAUCACUGUAUUGAUGUUUCAUAUUGAGGAAUCAUUAUAUUAACAGAGUUACGUGAUUAGGCAAACAUUUUACUCCAUUUGUUUUUAAGUGUAACUCUAUUGAUGUUUCAUAUUGAGGAAUCAUUAUAUUAACCUUUUACAAUAAAAACUACAUUGAUCUUUCAUUUUAGUUAGUUUAAUUGCUCAUAUGGAUAAUCUCAUAUUUAUAAAGGUUUAUUUUAUAUUGUGAGAGUAAAUCAAGUAUAAUGUUACUGUGACUGUAUUUCGCAGCUUAUGUCAUGCCAAUGUGAAAUUCUGAUUUGUUGCUGAUAUCAUACAUGCAUACAUAAUCAGAAUUAGUUAUGACAUUGUACUUUAUGAAGCAAACAUAAUGAUAAACAUAGAUUCAUGCCUAGGCAAACCAUGCUUCAAUAAAGGCUGUGCCAAUCUAAGCAUUUAGAUAUACGUGUAUGAACCCUUAUGGGAAGCUAAAGAUAUUAAUGCAUUGUCUACAAGAAUGUUUUUUUUUUUUUAUGAAGCUGAAGAUAUUAUCGUCGCAAACUAUGUUUUUAAAUUUUUUAUAAAUUGUUCAACACAAGAAUUUAUUCAAUUCAGUUGCUAUCUUUUCCAUACGCGUUUGUUCAUCACAAUUUGCGACUUCUGAUGUAUAUCCAUUAAGAAAUACCUUAAGUUUUAUUCUUGAAAUCUCCCGCUGAUAGUUAGAGUAAGAAAAUUUAAUCAUGUAGUUCAAACUUUAGGAAAUGGCAACUUUGGUCUUUGCAAGCUAUUUAUAUUUGUACUCUUUUAGGUGAGUAUCAAAUAUAUAGUCACUUUAGGAAGCCAUUUCAUAGAAUAUUGACCAAGUGUUUUGUCAUAAGUCUUAAAAAAAAAAGUUGGACUUGCACGUUUUUUGUCCUUUUUUUUUUUUUUUGGUACAAAGUAUUUUGCCAUGUUAAUUUUUCUUAAUUAGCAUGCCUUAAUUUUAUAGAGAACAAAGUAGAAUUGUUCAUAGGGUCCAUACAUGUGGCAACAUUUCUUGCAUUCAAUUAACCAAUCAAUUUGUCAGACAAAGUAUUUACGUACUCCUAUUUUUGCUGGUUAAGUUUAAAAUAUUCCUUAAUAGUAGUACAAUAUUGGGAGUUUAAAUUUGAGGAGGUAUUUGUCACAUAAAUUUUAAAUUUAAGAGGGGAUAUAUGCACACAAAUGUUAAAUUUCAGGGGAUAUUUGUAAGGUGAAUGGAUGACACAAAUGUUAAAUUUGAAAAGACAAAAAAAUCAAUUUUUAAAAAUAAAAAAAUAAAAAAAUAUAGUCAAUUACCCCUGUGACGUGGCAUGACUUUUUUGAUCAUGUGACGGUUAACGACCAUGUCAGCAUGUUGGAUGGAGGAAAUUAACGGAGGGGGUAUUUGACUGACGUUUGAUAAUUUCAGAGGAUUUUUGAAAUUUUGCAAAAUUCAAAUUUUUUUUUUGACAAAAACUACAAUUUCAAAAGGAUAAUUGACUAUUUACUCGUAUACACUCCAAUCGCCUUAUCGGCGCAUGAGGACUCUUUUCCGGGAACUACUCCUCUCGAAUAUAAUCCUUCCAAGCAAGUAUACCCCACACAAUCAAAUUUCAACGCCACAAAAACCUCUCUCCCAUCGAAGUCGCGCGUGACCAACAACAGCCUAACCAACGUCACUUCAUUCGUGCGAUUGUCACACGCUCGAAACAAUCGCGUGAAUCCGAAAACCCAAAGUUUUGCGCUAUUAUACUUCUCGUGUUAGAUUUUGCGGUACACCCUCAAACGCGUUUUCACCGAUCCACACGGACGAUACACCGUUUGUAGAGAGAGAAAUACCGAUAAUUCUAGAGAGAGAAAGCUCGUUUCGAUUCUAGAGAAGAGAGAGAGAGAGAGUGUUCGAGAUCUGAUACAGAGUGAAGGUAACUCUACUCUGCGUGUUUCAUUCUUCUUGUUUUUUUUUUUUUUUUCGAUUUUUUUUGUUGAAAUUGAUCGGUGAAAAACCCUAAAAUUUUCUGAUUCUUCUUCACGGGGUUUGAUUUGUUCAAUUUUGGUUCAAUUAAACCCUAGAUUUGAAUUCUAAAAUUUUCUAGGGUUUGGAGUUGUUUUUUGGUGAGGGAAAAUUAGAAUUAGGGUUUUGAAUGAAUGGAUUCGGGGACUGUAGUUGAAGAUAAGGUAGUUAGAGAGAUACAGAGAUACUCGGAGGGGAAAGUAUACACGAGAAAAGUUUUCAAAGUUUCAGAGGAUAAAGUUAAUUCCUUGAAAGUUGAUCAUUCAGAGGAUAAAGUUAAUUCCUUGAAAGUUGAUCCUCAUACUCAUUCUGGUGCUACCACCGCCACCGUCACUGUUGAUGGGACGAAGGAUAACGGGAAUAAUGUUUCGGCUCAACAGUUGGAUAGUGUUUUGGUUCCAGAGGAUGGGAAUUCGGCUCUGCCAGUUGUGAAUUCUAGGUUGGAAGUGGUUUCUGAAGAUUCGUCCAGUUUGUAUCGUAAGCAAGAUGAGCAUUUUAGUCUUGAUGUUGUUCAGCUGGAAGAUGGUAAUGAUUUGUUUGAACCAGCUUUAAGAUGUAAUGAUAAGAAGGAGUUGGAGAAUGGUGUUAAGAAUGGACUGGCUUCACGGUCGAAGCAAGAGAUGCGGGAGAUUAAGAGGAAGCUUGAGGGCGACCUUGAAACGGUGAGGUCUUUGGUGAUUAGGAUUGAAGAGAAACAACGGAUGGCUGGGAGGUUUGGUGGUGGUUUGAAUGUGUCUGUGGAUCGGUAUAGGGUUGAUAAUGGGAGUGGAGCUAAGCGCGCUCACUCUGAGGUAGCUUCUGCAGGUGUUCCAAGAGAGGCUAAUAGGUUUACACGCCAGUUAAGUGUAAUGGUGUUAGAGAAUGGUCACGGGAUUAGUGAAAGCGUUGAGAAGGAGAAGAGAACACCGAAGGCGAACCAGUUCUAUUCCAAUUCGGAAUUCUUGCUUGCGAAAGAUAAGUUUCCGCCUGCAGAGAGUAACAAGAAGUCAAAAUCACAUGGAAAGAAGCAUGGCGUUGGAGAAAUGGGACAUGGAUUUGGGAUAGUAUCGAAGUAUUUGAAGAACUGUAGCUCAUUGCUUGAAAAGUUGAUGAAACACAAGCACGGUUGGGUGUUUAAUACUCCAGUGGAUGUUGAACGUCUUGGUUUGCAUGAUUAUUUUAUCAUCAUCUCACAGCCGAUGGACUUGGGUACUGUGAAGUCGAGGCUGAGCAAGAAUUGGUACAAAUCACCAAAGGAGUUUGCGGAGGAUGUGAGACUUACUUUUCGUAAUGCCAUGACAUAUAAUCCUAAAGGGCAAGAUGUUCAUGUAAUGGCGGAGGAGCUAUCGGCAUUAUUCGAGGAAAGAUGGGCCAUUAUAGAGUCGCAUUACAAUCAUGAGAUGAGGUAUGGCAUGGAUUAUGGGCCCGCUAUUUCUGCACCUUCACCUCUGUCUAGAAAGGCUCAUGCUUUCCGGCCACCGCCUCUUGACAUGAGAAGGAUUGAUAGAUCAGAUUCAAUAACAAAACCUCCAAAUCCCAUGAGUUUGACUCGUUCUGCUCGAACUCCUGCUCCAAAAAAGCCGAAGGCAAACGAUCCUGAUAAAAGAGACAUGACAUACUAUGAAAAGCAAAAACUUAGCACACAUCUUCAGAAUCUACCACCUGAUAAACUAGAUGCUAUUGUACAGAUCAUUAAGAAACAAAAUUCGGCACUUUCCCAACAUGAUGACGAAAUUGAAGUGGACAUUGAUAGCGUGGAUGCAGAGACUCUUUGGGAGCUUGAUAGAUAUGUUACCAACUAUAAGAAAAGUUUGAGCAAAUACAAGAGGAAGGCCGAACUUGCGAUUCAAGCUAGAGCAGAAGCUGAGCGAAUUGCCCAGCAGAAGGUAAAAUUGACAAUGUCAACGUUUAAUAUCCAUUGUCUUCUUUUGGAAAUGCUUGUUACUAAUUGAAGUUAUUCGAUGCUUCCUGUAGAGCCAAGAACCACCAGUUAUAGUUGAGGCCCCGAGAGAAAGACAAGCAGGUAUGGCCGCUUGUGGACUAUUAUUGUUGAUCUCUUUUCAUCAUUCAUCAAUUAAAUUAAUUGAAAUAUUUUGUCUGCUUGAUUCUGAGCAGAUGAAAGAAAUGAUCCCUCAUCCUUGCCUGUGCAAGGGGAAAUUCGAGUAGAUAAUGGGAGUAAGACAAGUAGUUCAAGCAGCUCAAGCAGUGAUUCUGGCUCUUCAUCUAGUGGUAUAGUAAAUAAUUAUUUAAUAGAUAUCUGUCCCAUAAUUUAUUGUUAUACAAGGUCAAUCUCGCUUAUACUUUAAUAUCUGAUAUUAAUGUGCUUUGGCAGAUUCUGAUAGUGAUAGUUCCUCAGCAUCCGGGUCUGAUGCAGGGUCACAAUGAACCUAAAUACCUCCCGUAAGGUAAAAUCACAAACUUCAAUUUUUUUAUCUCGUUAUAUGCUCUUCUUGUUGUCUUGUAUGUUUUCUUCAUCAAAUUGUCUGUGCUUCUUGCUUUUGAUUACAUAGAGGUAUAUAUGUGUUAUCUUCAAGAUGUGAGGUUGAGUGCAUUUCUAUUUUUCUAGUUCACCAGGCUCGUUAUGUGUUAUACUGCUUACUAAGCCAGUUAAGUUUACAUCUACGUAUUGGAAUUUGGAUAUUUAAAGGUUUAGCAUUUAGAUCGACAUUUAUCCUUUUAUGGCUUGUGUCAGAAUUAGGAAAUAUUUGAUGCUAGUUCUAUUGAAUUUGAUGCUUAUUCAUUUUGAAUUUUUUUUCUCUUGUUAGUUUUUAGCAUUCUUUUUUACUUUCUUUAUCUUGUGUUUUUAGCUGUUAAACAGUGUUGUUAUAGUCUCUUGUAGGUUUGUCGUUUUGAAGUAUUAAAUGUGAAGAUCUUAUGCUUUUACGGGUCUGCUUUACUGUGUACACAUUUUAUGGCAUAGCCUGUGUACACAUUUUAACUUGGUAUUGUAUAUGCUUGCAUAUAUGAAUUGUUAUUGCGCCAUGCUGAUGACAUGCGCUUUAGUUGUCCAACAUAAGUGUAAUUAGUGUUUAUCUUGUAAUAAAGAGAUUAGUGGAAGAUUGCACUGUUGUUAAAAUAUCAAACAAAUAACACCUGCAACAAAAUUCUUGAAGUAUAUUCCAUUGAAAAGCAACUAAUGGUAGUGUGUGAACUGUGAAAUGAGAGCCAUAGUUACCAAUCCCAGGUAGUGGCAUGGUGUGGCCAAUCUAAAAUACACUGUAGUGGGAUAGCAGAGAGCGGGAUUACUGCUAUUCUCUCUUCAAUGGGAAAUAACUCAUGUUUCAGGACCUAUAUAAACAGUCAUAAUACUCUAGCAAAACGUACAAGCAGAUAACAAUUAAAGUCAAGGCAAUAAAGAGCUGUUUGUUGUGGAGCUAUUUCUGUGUAGUUCGGAGGAAGAUGCAUUGCUACGUCAAUGAAGAGGAUAACAGAUAGUCAGGGAAAAAACAAACAAAAUAGAGCUUCUGGGAGGGAGGGAGAGAGAGCAACAGAGCAGAAAAAGCUAGCAGAAGAAAAGAAAAGAAAGAAGAGGGAGAGUGGGUUCCAACCUGCGCUGAAGUGAGCAGAGAGGAGUAAAGAAAAGAAAGGAGAGUGGGACUCCAACCUUCAGCGAAGUGGGCAGAGAGUGGAGUGGUUUCACCAGGAAGCAACAGUUGGUGGCCGGAAAACAAUGGCUGCUGACUGGGUAGUUGUCAAAGGCUGGGUUGUGCAACUUGUGUGUUUCAAGGACCGCCUCCAUGGAGGAAGGAUGCUGCCCUUGUGAGAAAAGGAGUGUUGGUUGGUGCUUUUUAUUCCUUUCCUUGAAGCUUGAAUGCUACAAAAACCUCAAACUACACCCAGUCACCAUCUGUAUUCUUAAAAUUGAAGGGGAUUUCAGGGUUUUUGUAUUGGUCAAAAGCCUGCUCCUCAAUAAUGCUUUGCUGCUAGUGGACAGUUGAUAACUAUGAUGGGAACAUAUUCUUGCUCUCAUACUGAUAGGUAUCCAAACACCUGAGGUGUCCUCUCUUAAAGUUAAAAUUUAGCUAUCAAGGAGAAGAACCAAACCAAUUAAAUACUCCAUUGAUCACCCCAUUAUAUUUGAUUUGGAACUUAGGCACACCACAAUACCCAAGUCUAUCAUAGCACCGCCCCUAUGAGAUGACGUCCUACCCGUUAAACUCUACAAUGCUUUAUCCGACCUUUCCAGUGAUCCCUUCCAUACCCUUUUCUGAGAUACCAGCAACCUUGAUACCAAUUGAUAAAUAUCAAAGCACUUUGAAAAUCCUCCCUUAAAAGUUAGCUAUCAAGGGUAGAACCAACCCACUUCAAUACGUUAUGGAUUCUGGAGCAUCCCAAUCACAUCUCAUAAUUCUCUGUUUAGUUUGGCCGCUGGAAGUGAAACUAACUAUUUGUGCAGGGUUUGUUAGGGAUGCAUAGUUUAAGGUUACACCGGUUGCACUUACUGUAGUACUACUUUUUUUUUUCUUUUUCAUUUUAUGUUGGUAUUUUCACUACCCUUAUUAGCUGUACACCUACUGUCAUAAUUAGAGUUUGUCAUUGAUUUUGAAAUGCUAGUUUCUUUUAUUUGUGACCAACUUACUAUACAUUCUUGAUGGUAUGUUGUUUGCUUUGCUUAUUAAAUUGUGUCUAGCACUUCUAUGUGUUCCAAUUUUAACUAGAUAUGAACAGAAGUGCAUUAGUAUAACUAUAUCGAUGGAUAUUUAAUAACAUCUUUAUCUCAUAGUUAUUUUCCGAGCCUCCAAAAGGUAUUACAAAUAGUAGCAUUUUUCCCUGUAUUACACUUUCAGAUCUGUAUACAAUACCUUUAUUUACCUGGAUGAUACAAGUAGUUUGUUUUCAUUGCUCGUCCC